This 879-nucleotide ribosomal RNA is filed under the name Klebsiella sp. NCIM5289. RNAcentral describes it as "bacterial SSU rRNA". It matches the Rfam family "Bacterial small subunit ribosomal RNA", at positions 561 to 1438 of the family's 1533-position model. Lineage: Bacteria; Pseudomonadati; Pseudomonadota; Gammaproteobacteria; Enterobacterales; Enterobacteriaceae. The record is from RNAcentral.
UAAAGCGCACGCAGGGCGGUCUGUCAAGUCGGAUGUGAAAUCCCCGGGCUCAACCUGGGAACUGCAUUCGAAACUGGCAGGCUAGAGUCUUGUAGAGGGGGGGUAGAAUUCCAGGUGUAGCGGUGAAAUGCGUAGAGAUCUGGAGGAAUACCGGUGGCGAAGGCGGCCCCCUGGACAAAGACUGACGCUCAGGUGCGAAAGCGUGGGGAGCAAACAGGAUUAGAUACCCUGGUAGUCCACGCCGUAAACGAUGUCGAUUUGGAGGUUGUGCCCUUGAGGCGUGGCUUCCGGAGCUAACGCGUUAAAUCGACCGCCUGGGGAGUACGGCCGCAAGGUUAAAACUCAAAUGAAUUGACGGGGGCCCGCACAAGCGGUGGAGCAUGUGGUUUAAUUCGAUGCAACGCGAAGAACCUUACCUGGUCUUGACAUCCACAGAACUUUCCAGAGAUGGAUUGGUGCCUUCGGGAACUGUGAGACAGGUGCUGCAUGGCUGUCGUCAGCUCGUGUUGUGAAAUGUUGGGUUAAGUCCCGCAACGAGCGCAACCCUUAUCCUUUGUUGCCAGCGGUUAGGCCGGGAACUCAAAGGAGACUGCCAGUGAUAAACUGGAGGAAGGUGGGGAUGACGUCAAGUCAUCAUGGCCCUUACGACCAGGGCUACACACGUGCUACAAUGGCAUAUACAAAGAGAAGCGACCUCGCGAGAGCAAGCGGACCUCAUAAAGUAUGUCGUAGUCCGGAUUGGAGUCUGCAACUCGACUCCAUGAAGUCGGAAUCGCUAGUAAUCGUAGAUCAGAAUGCUACGGUGAAUACGUUCCCGGGCCUUGUACACACCGCCCGUCACACCAUGGGAGUGGGUUGCAAAAGAAGUAGGUAGCUUAA